GUGAAAGAUUGUUCUUGUAUUUAUCCUGGCAAUUUUAGACCACAGUCAAAACAUGAUAGGUACAAGAAUGAGGAGAAAUCUGUGAACAAGAUUCAAAAGAAGCAAGAGAUUAAUAGAAAACCAAGAAAAUUGGUGUCAAGAAGAAAACGAAGGAUUCAAGUGAACAAAACAUUUUAAAAAUGAAUUCACCAUGGACCCAG
Molecule: long non-coding RNA, 200 nt
Filed under: Sus scrofa (pig)
Lineage: Eukaryota; Metazoa; Chordata; Mammalia; Artiodactyla; Suidae
Description: lncRNA (ENSSSCG00070023276.1)
Source: RNAcentral